ACAAUGAAGAGUUUGAUCCUGGCUCAGGAUGAACGCUAGCUACAGGCUUAACACAUGCAAGUCGAGGGGCAGCAUUUCAGUUUGCUUGCAAACUGGAGAUGGCGACCGGCGCACGGGUGAGUAACACGUAUCCAACCUGCCGAUAACUCGGGGAUAGCCUUUCGAAAGAAAGAUUAAUACCCGAUGGUAUAAUCAGACCGCAUGGUUUGAUUAUUAAAGAAUUUCGGUUAUCGAUGGGGAUGCGUUCCAUUAGGCAGUUGGUGAGGUAACGGCUCACCAAACCUUCGAUGGAUAGGGGUUCUGAGAGGAAGGUCCCCCACAUUGGAACUGAGACACGGUCCAAACUCCUACGGGAGGCAGCAGUGAGGAAUAUUGGUCAAUGGGCGCAGGCCUGAACCAGCCAAGUAGCGUGAAGGAUGACUGCCCUAUGGGUUGUAAACUUCUUUUAUAUGGGAAUAAAGUUUUCCACGUGUGGAAUUUUGUAUGUACCAUAUGAAUAAGGAUCGGCUAACUCCGUGCCAGCAGCCGCGGUAAUACGGAGGAUCCGAGCGUUAUCCGGAUUUAUUGGGUUUAAAGGGAGCGUAGGUGGACAGUUAAGUCAGUUGUGAAAGUUUGCGGCUCAACCGUAAAAUUGCAGUUGAUACUGGCUGUCUUGAGUACAGUAGAGGUGGGCGGAAUUCGUGGUGUAGCGGUGAAAUGCUUAGAUAUCACGAAGAACUCCGAUUGCGAAGGCAGCUCACUGGACUGCAACUGACACUGAUGCUCGAAAGUGUGGGUAUCAAACAGGAUUAGAUACCCUGGUAGUCCACACAGUAAACGAUGAAUACUCGCUGUUUGCGAUAUACAGUAAGCGGCCAAGCGAAAGCAUUAAGUAUUCCACCUGGGGAGUACGCCGGCAACGGUGAAACUCAAAGGAAUUGACGGGGGCCCGCACAAGCGGAGGAACAUGUGGUUUAAUUCGAUGAUACGCGAGGAACCUUACCCGGGCUUAAAUUGCAUUUGAAUAUAUUGGAAACAGUAUAGCCGUAAGGCAAAUGUGAAGGUGCUGCAUGGUUGUCGUCAGCUCGUGCCGUGAGGUGUCGGCUUAAGUGCCAUAACGAGCGCAACCCUUAUCUUUAGUUACUAACAGGUCAUGCUGAGGACUCUAGAGAGACUGCCGUCGUAAGAUGUGAGGAAGGUGGGGAUGACGUCAAAUCAGCACGGCCCUUACGUCCGGGGCUACACACGUGUUACAAUGGGGGGUACAGAAGGCAGCUACCUGGUGACAGGAUGCUAAUCCCAAAAGCCUCUCUCAGUUCGGAUCGAAGUCUGCAACCCGACUUCGUGAAGCUGGAUUCGCUAGUAAUCGCGCAUCAGCCAUGGCGCGGUGAAUACGUUCCCGGGCCUUGUACACACCGCCCGUCAAGCCAUGAAAGCCGGGGGUACCUGAAGUACGUAACCGCAAGGAGCGUCCUAGGGUAAAACUGGUAAUUGGGGCUAAGUCGUAACAAGGUAGCCGUACCGGAAGGUGCGGCUGGAACACCUCCUUU
Ribosomal RNA from Bacteroides thetaiotaomicron VPI-5482, 1529 nucleotides. It matches the Rfam family "Bacterial small subunit ribosomal RNA". The record is from Rfam. Lineage: Bacteria; Pseudomonadati; Bacteroidota; Bacteroidia; Bacteroidales; Bacteroidaceae.